AGAAGUUCUAUAAAUUCUUUCUUUAAGUAAAAAAUUGUUAAAUCGAUUCCAGAUGGUCUUUGGAAAAGAGUGCAAGCUUAUAGCGAAGCAUCACGGAGCAAAGACCAAAUUACUGAUCGAAAUGCAGAAGAGCAAGUGAUCAAAAGACCAAAACAAGAAGGCUCAAAGAUCUCUCAAAAUAUUAGAAAAUCCAGGACUCAUAGAAACAUACAAACUCGGAAACUAAUUCUAUGUGCCUAAUAAAUCCCUAUAUAAAAUUUAAUUGACAGACACACAAAACGAAGAGGUAAAAAAUUUCUCUUGACUACCCUGCCAAUAGUUUUCACCAUGCAUAUAGGAUUUCACCCACAGAAACACUCCUUGAUCCUGGAAAUCACGCCACAAACCACCAAUU
Molecule: unclassified non-coding RNA, 394 nt
Filed under: Hevea brasiliensis (rubber tree)
Lineage: Eukaryota; Viridiplantae; Streptophyta; Magnoliopsida; Malpighiales; Euphorbiaceae
Source: RNAcentral